RNAcentral lists this ribosomal RNA (996 nucleotides) under Klebsiella pneumoniae. RNAcentral describes it as "partial 23S ribosomal RNA". It matches the Rfam family "Bacterial large subunit ribosomal RNA", at positions 1947 to 2925 of the family's 2925-position model. The record is from RNAcentral. Lineage: Bacteria; Pseudomonadati; Pseudomonadota; Gammaproteobacteria; Enterobacterales; Enterobacteriaceae.
GGUCCUAAGGUAGCGAAAUUCCUUGUCGGGUAAGUUCCGACCUGCACGAAUGGCGUAAUGAUGGCCAGGCUGUCUCCACCCGAGACUCAGUGAAAUUGAACUCGCUGUGAAGAUGCAGUGUACCCGCGGCAAGACGGAAAGACCCCGUGAACCUUUACUAUAGCUUGACACUGAACAUUGAGCCUUGAUGUGUAGGAUAGGUGGGAGGCUUUGAAGCGUGGACGCCAGUCUGCGUGGAGCCAACCUUGAAAUACCACCCUUUAAUGUUUGAUGUUCUAACGUUGGCCCCUUACCGGGGUUGCGGACAGUGUCUGGUGGGUAGUUUGACUGGGGCGGUCUCCUCCCAAAGCGUAACGGAGGAGCACGAAGGUUAGCUAAUCCUGGUCGGACAUCAGGAGGUUAGUGCAAUGGCAUAAGCUAGCUUGACUGCGAGCGUGACGGCGCGAGCAGGUGCGAAAGCAGGUCAUAGUGAUCCGGUGGUUCUGAAUGGAAGGGCCAUCGCUCAACGGAUAAAAGGUACUCCGGGGAUAACAGGCUGAUACCGCCCAAGAGUUCAUAUCGACGGCGGUGUUUGGCACCUCGAUGUCGGCUCAUCACAUCCUGGGGCUGAAGUAGGUCCCAAGGGUAUGGCUGUUCGCCAUUUAAAGUGGUACGCGAGCUGGGUUUAGAACGUCGUGAGACAGUUCGGUCCCUAUCUGCCGUGGGCGCUGGAGAAUUGAGGGGGGCUGCUCCUAGUACGAGAGGACCGGAGUGGACGCAUCACUGGUGUUCGGGUUGUCAUGCCAAUGGCACUGCCCGGUAGCUAAAUGCGGAAGAGAUAAGUGCUGAAAGCAUCUAAGCACGAAACUUGCCCCGAGAUGAGUUCUCCCUGAGACUUUAAGUCUCCUGAAGGAACGUUGAAGACGACGACGUUGAUAGGCCGGGUGUGUAAGCGCAGCGAUGCGUUGAGCUAACCGGUACUAAUGAACCGUGAGGCUUAACCUUACAACGCCGAAG